Molecule: ribosomal RNA, 569 nt
Filed under: Streptomyces olivochromogenes
Lineage: Bacteria; Bacillati; Actinomycetota; Actinomycetes; Kitasatosporales; Streptomycetaceae
Description: bacterial SSU rRNA
Rfam family: Bacterial small subunit ribosomal RNA
Source: RNAcentral
UUCGGGUUGUAAACCUCUUUCAGCAGGGAAGAAGCGAAAGUGACGGUACCUGCAGAAGAAGCGCCGGCUAACUACGUGCCAGCAGCCGCGGUAAUACGUAGGGCGCAAGCGUUGUCCGGAAUUAUUGGGCGUAAAGAGCUCGUAGGCGGCUUGUCACGUCGGGUGUGAAAGCCCGGGGCUUAACCCCGGGUCUGCAUUCGAUACGGGCUAGCUAGAGUGUGGUAGGGGAGAUCGGAAUUCCUGGUGUAGCGGUGAAAUGCGCAGAUAUCAGGAGGAACACCGGUGGCGAAGGCGGAUCUCUGGGCCAUUACUGACGCUGAGGAGCGAAAGCGUGGGGAGCGAACAGGAUUAGAUACCCUGGUAGUCCACGCCGUAAACGGUGGGAACUAGGUGUUGGCGACAUUCCACGUCGUCGGUGCCGCAGCUAACGCAUUAAGUUCCCCGCCUGGGGAGUACGGCCGCAAGGCUAAAACUCAAAGGAAUUGACGGGGGCCCGCACAAGCAGCGGAGCAUGUGGCUUAAUUCGACGCAACGCGAAGAACCUUACCAAGGCUUGACAUACACCGGAA